This 301-nucleotide ribosomal RNA is filed under the name uncultured bacterium. Its description in RNAcentral is "partial 16S ribosomal RNA". It matches the Rfam family "Bacterial small subunit ribosomal RNA", at positions 509 to 807 of the family's 1533-position model. The record is from RNAcentral.
CAGUCGCCGCGGGAAUACAGAGGGUGCAAGCGUUAAUCGGAAUUACUGGGCGUAAAGCGCGCGUAGGUGGUUCGCCAAGUUGGAUGUGAAAUCCCCGGGCUCAACCUGGGAACUGCAUCCAAAACUGGCGAGCUAGAGUAUGGUAGAGGGUGGUGGAAUUUCCUGUGUAGCGGUGAAAUGCGUAGAUAUAGGAAGGAACAUCAGUGGCGAAGGCGACCACCUGGACUGAUACUGACACUGAGGUGCGAAAGCGUGGGGAGCAAACAGGAUUAGAGACCCCCGUAGUCCCUGUCUCUUAUAC